AUACGGAGGGUGCAAGCGUUAAUCGGAAUUACUGGGCGUAAAGCGUGCGUAGGUGGUUUGUUAAGUCAGAUGUGCAAGCCCCGGGCUCAACCUGGGAACUGCAUUUGAAACUGGCAUACUAGAGUAUAGGAGAGGAAAGUGGAAUUUCAGGUGUAGCGGUGAAAUGCGUAGAUAUCUCAAGGAACAUCAAUGGCGAAGGCAGCUUUCUGGACUAAUACUGACACUGAGGUACGAAAGCGUGGGUAGCAAACAGGAUUAGAAACCCUAGUAGUCC
This 274-nucleotide ribosomal RNA is filed under the name uncultured bacterium. Its description in RNAcentral is "partial 16S ribosomal RNA". It matches the Rfam family "Bacterial small subunit ribosomal RNA", at positions 523 to 796 of the family's 1533-position model. The record is from RNAcentral.